CAAAUAUAAAAAAUUUAAGCAUAGUUAAAGGUAUAGUUUGAAAAUUAAAAUUCUGCCAUCAUUUUGUUUCUAACUGUAGCCUAUGAGUUUUUUUCAUCUGUUGUAAUUUACAUCAGAUAUUUUUAAGAAUGUUGGCAACAAUUCACUAUCUAUUGAUUUCCAUAGUAUGGAAAAAAAUAUAACUUGAACAACUUGAGGGCGAGUAAAUGAUAGAGCUUUCAUUUUUGGGUGAACUAUCACUUUAAAUACUCGAAAGAUAUGAGUUUUCGGUUGUUUUUUGAGUACUGUCCAGGAUUCAGCUGUUCGGAUGAACAGAUUUUGCAGAAAGGAGAGACGCUUUAGGCUAUAGCCGAAAUCAGAACACAGCUAUAGUCUUUAUCUUAUGUGUAUGCUUUGUGAUUUCAUCAGAUAUCAGUUAGCCUAUAAAUCAGGAUUUUUGUGCAGAAUAACAUCUUGGAAGGGACAGCUGGAUAUGUAGUCUUAAUGGGCAGUGUCACUACUUCACUAUUUUAUAUUCAUCCCGUUUUCUGACAACAGCAAUGUCAAAGGUUGCUUGUAGUCGUACCCCAUGGACUAUUUUAAUAACUGGAGAUAUCUGAAUAAACAACGGUGAAACUGGACUGGCGGAAGGAUGAUCACUGAAGCGAUGUAAGCAGAUCAGCAUGCUUCUUCCGAACUUUAUAAAAUUGUAACGAUAUACGAAAUCACAAAUAAGGUCGUCCACAUUGCUUUUUGUUUGCCUCCCCUUUCGCCCUCUGCUGGAGAACACGGAUACUGCACACCUGCACAUUUUUAUUUUAUCAAAUACUCUCCUUAAACAUGAUGAGCAACAGUAAUUAACAUUUUAUUCUCAUUUACAUUUAGAGAAAGCGUUAGCUCAGUUACUCUGAACCAAAGUGUGUUGAGUUCAUUAUAAAUAUUGCCAUCAAAAUUAACACAAGACACUCUACCUUUUUAAAAUACCCUUUCAAGAAGUCUUAAAGAUCAAAUCGUAUAUUCAUCAUAAGAUAAUAUGAUAAAGCAGAGGAGCCAGGCUGUAACAGAAAUCAUGCAGUUGCUGUAAUAUCACUGAGACUCUGCGAAAAACACCCAAAACCAUAGCUAUAUAAUCGUGUAAAAGCUCUGGAUAAAAAGCAUCUGUCAAAUGUGCUGUAGUCCAGUGGUUAAAGAUCUGAGCUGGAAACUGGAUGACUGUUCAAUGCCACCAAGAGCUGAUCCUUGAGCUAACACUGCUGUGCCAUUCAGAACUUAAUGGCAGAAUGAAGUAUUAUGUAACCUUCAUCUUUUGGCUAACAUCUUUUUCAUCUUUGGUCCUUUAAUCCUCAGGUCUGGAAAGAAGAUAUAGAAGCCUAUGAAUAUUGUUUAUAUUGCAAUAACACACAAUUCCCUGUUUUAGAUGGUCAGUUGAGUUUAAAGAUCAUUUUCUAAUGACAAUCAUCAUUAAUCAGGAAAUUUUUAUUCACAAACCCUAAUUUCUUCAAGCUCCUCAAAAUAGGUCAGUCUGGCUGGGCCGUGUUGUUCUGAUGGCAGUACACAUCAGACUGAACUGUAAACUGUUGGCAGUGUAGCAGAGUCAGGCACAAUCACACUAGGUCGGUUUCUGUCAUAAAACCAAACGUCGUCUUGCUGGCUAGCCACUCUUUGCUAAAGGACCGAGACAGAGAUUAGAACCAAUAUGGCACAUUUGUUUCACAUGAUCCAUGUGAACACAUGUCAUCCUUUCAGCCUGCUGAGCUGGAAAUGUUUUUAACCUUUGGAUAAAUCGUUUCUGAUGAUCUGCAGCAGUCACAACAUCUAUAGUUGGCGGUCGAAGCGACAAUUGCAGAGAGGAUGCAGGUCAGAAUAUCACAGGCCACAAGGGCCAUUGCAGCCCAGAGAGGCUGAAGAAAUUGUCAGAAUAUGCACAUGGUUAAUAUAAACAGUUUAGUUUUGAACGGCAUAAUUAGGUGAAACCAACUGCAAGUUGACCAUACUGAUGUUAUGCAACAUGAAUACAAUUUUUAAAGCAUGAAAUGUGACUAAGAUGACUUACCAGACACAUGACUGAUAUAUGUUCAGCUAAGACUGCUCCAGUUAAAACUGACUAAAGGGAAUGAAAAUAAUGUUUUUCAGUAUUUCAGAAUCACCACACAGUGUUUUCCUGAUGAGAAAAGGAAGAAAUACUUACAAAGCACAAGACAAGAUAAAACAAGCCACCCCACAAUGGUAAAAAGAUCCCCAGUAAACUUAUUGAUAUUUCCAGACCCUGUCAGAGAAAAGGAUAAGUUGUCUUUGUUUAUAUAUUCACCCAGAUAAUAUCAAUAUUUAAAACUUAGAGAAGUCCUCAAGGUGGAACAAUUUUGUAUUUCUCCCAAACACUUUGCCCAAACCUCCAGAAAUUCAGACUUCCCUUUUAGGUGACAUCCAGCCAUCUUUAAACACUGUGGUAGACAUGUGAAAAUACAAUCUGUUAAUACAAUGCAUUUUUUACAUUCUUUAGGUUAGAAGUAGCUCUUUGCAGUUGCUCUUGAUAAAAUGUAAUGAAAUACCAAACGUUUAAAUGAGCUGGCAGAGACCAUUUUGAUAAUGUUUCAUGUAUUAAAAAAAUAAAUAAGAGAAGACCACCAGAGCAUCACAGACCAUCAGUAAAAUGUGAGUCACACCAUAUUAGAGGCAGGAGGAUUAUGAACUAAACACAAGUAGUGUCUGGACCAAUAAGACACCAUUUUUCAUCUGAAUUAACAAAUAAUCACAGACCCCACAUUUUCCAGGAAAGACACAUAAUGCUCAGCAAAAUGGACUCUUCUCUAAUUAAUUAAUAGGAAAACCUUUCUUUGAAUGAACACACAUAUACUUUAGGGCAUUGUGUAUGUUGUUACUCUUCGUGGAUAUUGUCUUUUGUAUUGUAUACUUUUUUAUGCAUGCUUAUUAUAGAACCACUCGUUCAUGUAAUGUUUCCUAUAUGUAAUCCUACCAUGUUUAGUAUCUAUGAAUUUGCCUUCUGAUGAUCUAAACGAGAGUGUAUAUUAUAUGUUCGUACUUAGGCAAUAUAUUAGUGUUCUAAGUAAUUUUGCAUUAACACUCGGUAGAGUUCCAUAUGCAAAUUACCAUGCUUUUAGACAAAGGACCAUAAAACUCUCCAUUAUUUACAACCUCACGCUUGGAAUUUCAGCCUUUCUCACUGGACAAGCCCAUCCUGAGAGGUGUGAAUUGUCUCAGACCUUAAAAGGCUCACGCACAGUUCCACCCAGGCCUUCUUCUUCUGCUAAGUCUUCUGCUAAAAUCCGAUUGCUGUCCGUGUGGAGAGCUGGAACAGGUGCGUGCCCAGGGGGACCCAACACAUAGCUCAGCAGUCUGUGGUUCUUUUAGAUUCUGAGAAGAUGAGGAUGUGAGCUAGAACGCUUCUAAGGACACCCUAAGUUUGUGCCAGGCCUCAUGCCUUGACUUUCCAUUCAACAAAGAUCCAAGGAUCGCAGCUGACGUCUCUCUUAGCUCUUUUUCACUUCCCACUGGGAAGAAACUCCCAAUCACCAUUGAGUCAGAACAUCUUUGGAAUUCAUCACUUUUCAAACCCAGAAGAAGGAUAUCACGACUCCUACACCACCGAACCUCCAAAUCUUCAAGGCUUUCAUCCGAGACUGCAUCCCGACGCUUGUUCCAGGCUAAGGCAAUUCAUCAUUUACUCCUGACAUCUGAGCCUCUGAAGACGCAGUGGAUCUUCGUGCGACUCAUUCAUGAUCCAGCUUCACCAACAGAAGAAGUGCCAAAGUGGAGGGAUGGAAAGGCCACUCAUGUCAGCCUGCCAGA
Molecule: long non-coding RNA, 3786 nt
Organism: Cyprinus carpio carpio
Lineage: Eukaryota; Metazoa; Chordata; Actinopteri; Cypriniformes; Cyprinidae
Source: Ensembl